UACGGAAGGCAGCAGUGGGGAAUAUUGCACAAUGGGCGCAAGCCUGAUGCAGCCAUGCCGCGUGUAUGAAGAAGGCCCUUCGGGUUGUAAAGUACUUUCAGUCGUGAGGAAGGUGUUAAGGUUAAUAACCUUAGCAAUUGACGUUAGCGACAGAAGAAGCACCGGCUAACUCCGUGCCAGCAGCCGCGGUAAUACGGAGGGUGCGAGCGUUAAUCGGAAUUACUGGGCGUAAAGGGCACGCAGGCGGUUAAUUAAGUUGGAUGUGAAAUCCCCGGGCUUAACCUGGGAAUGGCAUUCAAGACUGGUUAGCUAGAGUCUUGUAGAGGGGGUAGAAUUCCAUGUGUAGCGGUGAAAUGCGUAGAGAUGUGGAGGAAUACCGGUGGCGAAGGCGGCCCCUGGACAAAGGACUGACGCUCAUGUGCGAAAGCGUGGGGAGCAAAC
This 441-nucleotide ribosomal RNA is filed under the name uncultured bacterium. RNAcentral describes it as "bacterial SSU rRNA". It matches the Rfam family "Bacterial small subunit ribosomal RNA", at positions 340 to 773 of the family's 1533-position model. The record is from RNAcentral.